Canis lupus familiaris (dog) is the source of this 1663-nucleotide long non-coding RNA. RefSeq lists it as uncharacterized. NCBI's taxonomy places the organism in Eukaryota, Metazoa, Chordata, Mammalia, Carnivora, Canidae. The transcript is spliced from 3 exons. The record is from RefSeq and is a predicted model, not a curated record.
GACCCCGAGCCCGCCGCGCGCUGUGCGGCUCCAGGGGCGCCGGCAGGACCGUCACCGCCUCGCCAUCCCCGGCCCCAGGCUCUGUCCAGCGGCACCUGAGGUCGCCAAGUGCCAGGUCUGGCUGUCCGGUUCGGCCCCCGGCUCCACCAGCUGGUCACGGUAGGCUCCGUGCGGUGACUGAAACUCUGUGCUUCCCUUUCUUAAUUGGGAACGGCGGCAGUUUCGAACUCAAACUCAGCGCGGUCACGGGGUGACUCUGGAUCUGCAUCAUAAAGAAGUGCGGACGCGUCGUUAUUCCUGUGUGGUGGCCAGCUUCCCGUAACACGCUCCCCUAUCUCUUUCUCCGGGCCCGGUACAAUAACAGGGUAGCAGAGCUUCCUCCUGGCCAGACAUUGUGCAGACACCUUUGAGCUGAAGUCCUGGGUAGAGACCAUACCAGGUGGAGUUGUCAGACAAAGGAACCUUUUUUUUGCACUGAAGGAAUCACUCCCAAGGCUGUGACUCGCACAGCAGAGGUCCCAACACAGGAAGCUUCUAAACUUUGAACGUCUGAGGAUAAUAAGAGUGUCCUUUUGUAUGAGAAUGGAGACAGGUGGCUGGGGGUCCUAGGGAGCUUUGGGAUGGGGACUGGUCACCAGAAGAACCAACCAUGUGACUAGAACUUUCACCCCCACCCCCUGGAGCAGAGAGGGACUGGAGACUGAGUUAAUCACCAGUGGUCAAUGAUUUAACCAAUUAUGCCUACAUAAUGAACCUCCAUUAAAAAACACUAAAGGGUUGGGGGGUUCAGAGAGCUUCCAGGCUGGUGAACACAUCAAGGUGCUGGGAGGGUGGCAAGCAGGAAAGGGGAUGUGCACUGCUUUGCCCCUUCCCUCACACUUUACCCUAUGCACUUCUUCCAUUUUGAUGCUCCGGAGUUGUAUCCCUUAUAAUAAGCUGUUAAUAGUAUUUUCCUGAGUUCUGCAAUCCAUUCCAGUAAGUUAUCCAACCUGAGGGAGGGAGUCAUGGGAACUCCAAUGUAUAGCUGGGUAGUCAGAAGUGCAGGGGGCCUGGACUUGGGAUUGACAUCUCAAGUGUGGCAGACUCCUUAAGCUGUGGGGUCCAACAUUAACUCUGGGUAGUGCAUGAAUUAAAUUGAUUUUGCCUCAGUCAGUUAAGCCUCCAAUUCUUGGUCUCAGCCCAGGUCUUGAUCUCAGGGUUGUGAGUUCAAGCCCCAUGCCUACUUAAAAAAAAAAGAAAAAAGAAAAAAAAAAAAAGAAAUUUGUAGGACAUCCAGUUGGUGUCCAGAGAAUUAGAAAAUUGGUUGACAUGGGAAAAAAAACCCUACACAUUAUCAGAAAUGCUGUAAUAAAAACCAGGUCAUCUAUAUAAGGGCAAAAUAAGAAUGCUUUCAGAGAAGCAAGUAUUCAGAAAGUUCAUUACUCGUGAAUGCUAACUGAAAGAAAUACUAGAGGAUGCAGUCUACGAAAAUUUAAAAAAAAAAUUGUGAAUCCAAGAGGAAGCUGUGGGACAGAAGCAGCAGUGGUAAACCAAGCAAUUUUGUAAAGGAUAUUAAACUAAAUACCUGUUACCUCUUUAUGUAUGUAUAUAGGCUUCACACUCAGCAUGGAGCCCAGUGUGGGACUUGAACUCAUGACCCUGAGAUCUGGAGCUGAGAUCAAGA